Molecule: long non-coding RNA, 191 nt
Filed under: Salvator merianae (Argentine black and white tegu)
Lineage: Eukaryota; Metazoa; Chordata; Lepidosauria; Squamata; Teiidae
Description: lncRNA (ENSSMRG00000014529.1)
Source: RNAcentral
CAAUGGCCGGGCGGUGGCCAUGGCAACCUCUUAAUUUAUAGCAUAUCUAAAUUGGCUCCAGCCUCGCGCUUGGCACAGAGGGGAAAAAACAGAAGGCAACCCUUUUGUUGAGGGGCGAGAUUUUCACCUGGCUUGCCCGGGGAAGCUCCACUUUUUAAAAACAUGCAUGGUAUGUAAAAGAUAUUCUCCAG